Molecule: ribosomal RNA, 597 nt
Filed under: uncultured bacterium
Lineage: Bacteria
Description: bacterial SSU rRNA
Rfam family: Bacterial small subunit ribosomal RNA
Source: RNAcentral
AAUACCUAGGAAUCUGCCUGGUAGUGGGGGACAACGUUUCGAAAGGAACGCUAAUACCGCAUACGUCCUACGGGAGAAAGCAGGGGACCUUCGGGCCUUGCGCUAUCAGAUGAGCCUAGGUCGGAUUAGCUAGUUGGUGAGGUAAUGGCUCACCAAGGCGACGAUCCGUAACUGGUCUGAGAGGAUGAUCAGUCACACUGGAACUGAGACACGGUCCAGACUCCUACGGGAGGCAGCAGUGGGGAAUAUUGGACAAUGGGCGAAAGCCUGAUCCAGCCAUGCCGCGUGUGUGAAGAAGGUCUUCGGAUUGUAAAGCACUUUAAGUUGGGAGGAAGGGUACUUACCUAAUACGUGAGUAUUUUGACGUUACCGACAGAAUAAGCACCGGCUAACUCUGUGCCAGCAGCCGCGGUAAUACAGAGGGUGCAAGCGUUAAUCGGAAUUACUGGGCGUAAAGCGCGCGUAGGUGGUUCGUUAAGUUGGAUGUGAAAUCCCCGGGCUCAACCUGGGAACUGCAUCCAAAACUGGCGAGCUAGAGUAGGGGCAGAGGGUGGUGGAAUUUCCUGUGUAGCGGUGAAAUGCGUAGAUAUAGGAAGG